CCGAAUCAUUGAUCGUAAAAAUACAAAAUUACAAUAUGUAGAACUCGCUUUAGUUUCCUAGCAAAUAAUGAAAGAACCUCUUGGAUAAAAUUUAGUGUCUUUAGCUGCCACCAUACGUUAGGAACAUCAACAAUAAAACUCGUCCCUCAAAGCAACCUGUAUAUACAAGAAUAUAUAUAAAUUAGUAUAAUAAGAAAAUCAUACAAGUUACAAAUACCAUGGUCAAUAUUCAAUACAUGAUCUCUAUUACAAUAUUAUUCUCAUUCUUAAUUGUUGUAAAAAUAGAAUAACUUCAAAAAUAGCUAGAAACUAAAAUUAACAGCAAACAAUGCGAACAAAGCGAAGAAGAAGAUUAGUAGAGCUAGUCAAUCAUGUACGCCCCCAACAUCAUGAAUUUAGCGUAAAGUGUAUGUUCUUAACAAUUUAAAAAUAUAACUAUGUCGACCAACUCCCUCUGGAUCAGUAUUAAAAUAUAAAAAUGGUGAUCAAGUGAAAAAAGGACUGGGGAAAAAGAGAGCAUACCAGUAAGAAGAUUUGGAGUUUUAUCAUCCAGAGCAACAGGAAACUGCACGGACAAGAUAUACAUUAAUGAAUAACAAGAAACCCAAGUUAGAAAUACAAUAUUAUUAAAAAUACAAGGAAAUGUAGACAUUCUCAAAUAUCCUCCAAUCAUGUAUAUGAACAUAGCUUACAUUUACAUGUGCCAAGAAAAAAAGUUGCAAGAGAGAUCGAGAUAAGACGAUUACCAACAAAAACUUAUGAUCUAUAAAUCAACUAAAUCACUCAACACCGUAGAAAAAAAAAAAAAAACCAAAUAACGAGGGUCACACAACAUUUACUCGAAUGAGAUUUCCAAUUGUCUCUGUUCAAUCACCUGAAUGACAUUUUCAAUUGUCUCUAUACAAUUACCUAGGAAAUUAGUCUUGCAUCAAUAUUCACCUCCUAUUGAAUGUAUCUUUACAUAUAAUUUGCAAGAUUGAGUUAAAUUAUUUAGAUAAGUAAAUUAGGAAGCAAAAUAUCGGCUCCUAAAAUGAUUCCUGACAUUGCAUGCUUAAUAUUUAGAAUAUAUAUAGUAUAAAUAAUAAAAUGAGAGCUAAUCAAUUGAUUAAAGAGUCAGAUUAUUUAAUACAAUACAAAAUAAUAAUAAAAAAAAAAAGAAAAAAAAAGAGAGAAGAAGAUCAACAAAACCAGAACUAAAAUUUCUUGCAAGAACUGCACACGAGUUGAAUAAUGAAACAUACUCCACAAAGAAUUCAAAUUAGAGUAAAAUAUUAGAGUAUUUUGGUAAAAUUAUUUAUGUUCUUCUGCAUAAACGAAUCACUAGUGCGCCACUACAAUUGAGAACAUAAUAGGAUUUUAAUUUAUUUAAUAUAAGAAUUUAUCCUUUCUCCUACAAUUCCCCUAUCCCAUGUCGAACAAUCACAAGGCUAGUAUAGACAAUCAAUAACCAACAUAUUCUUAUUCCCAAUUUUAAAGUUUAUACACAUAUACAUAUUGAGUUAUUUAGAAAUAUUAAUAGUUAGGGCUUGAAUUUAAAUUAUUAGGCAUAAUUGUUUUCAUAAGAAUAAGAGUUCAAAAUCCAUUACCAUGAAGAAGAAAGGAAUUGACAGGAUUACCAUAUGAUUCGUUAUCAGGAUGAGCAAGAUAUUCUUUUGUUCUCCU
Molecule: long non-coding RNA, 1662 nt
Filed under: Erythranthe guttata (spotted monkey flower)
Lineage: Eukaryota; Viridiplantae; Streptophyta; Magnoliopsida; Lamiales; Phrymaceae
Description: long non-coding RNA (EGUT_LNC001177)
Source: RNAcentral